GACCAGCCGAACGAUCGGCCAGCCGUCU
This 28-nucleotide small RNA is filed under the name Bombyx mori (domestic silkworm). RNAcentral's name for it is "ovarian small RNA-15441". Lineage: Eukaryota; Metazoa; Arthropoda; Insecta; Lepidoptera; Bombycidae. The record is from RNAcentral.